Molecule: long non-coding RNA, 873 nt
Filed under: Citrus maxima (pomelo)
Lineage: Eukaryota; Viridiplantae; Streptophyta; Magnoliopsida; Sapindales; Rutaceae
Description: long non-coding RNA (CMAX_LNC003525)
Source: RNAcentral
AGUUGUGAUAUUGUUAAUUGAUGCAUCAAGAACUACUGUGCUUGAAGCCCCUGCAAGCCAAGCCUUCCCCAUCAGAAUUAGGUACUGAUUUUGCUAGUGGGAUCUCACAGACCACCCAGGUUGGUUUGUAAAAGAUUUCUUAUUUACGAGAACAAGAUAUCUCCCAUUAACGAAACUGCAGUAAAAAUAUAUAGAAAAUGCAUUAUAGAGAGCAUAAAAUGAUAAUUUUAUACACACACACACAGAGUUCAAUUCUCAAGUGUCAAUUAAUACUCUCAAAUUAAAUGAACAUUAGGUAGGAGUUUAAAGAGGAAAUGGUACCUGUAAUACUGAUAGUUGUCAAAGUCGUCAUACCUAAACCCAGCGACCUGUCAAUCGACAAUUUUAACAUUAUUUACAGCAGUUCAUGAUACGCAACUCAACUGGCUUUAUUGUUUUACAGAUUUAGAUAUAUAUAUAUCAAUAACAGAGUAAUUUAAUUUGAUACUGUACAUUGUUGAGGUUCUUCUAACCAAAAACAACAAUUUGGCUUUAAAUGUUGCCAUAAAGAGAGGAUCUAAUUGUGAAAUGCAACGGGAAGUACUUAGAUAAUAAGCAAGGGGUAUGAGAACAAGGGGGCAGUUGUGACAAAGAAGAUGGAGGAGGAGAUGAACUUAUUCAAGGGAUAUAAUUAAUGAUAGUAGCUGCAAGUGGUGCUUAAUAAUUGUGAUUUAUGGGUGUUUUCGAUACCGCAUAUUAUAUUUUUCCAUCUCUUUACCAACGAAGUGUUAGGCUCCACUGGCAAUGGAGUCUCCUUAAGUGGCUUGAUUGAGUUUGUUUUCCAAUUUGAAUCGCAGGGAAGUCGUUUUUGUUGAGAGAACUUGUGCGAAUCUG